CAGGACGGGGCCUGGAAGGGGGGGAGCCUCAGACCAAAUAACAGUUGUUUCUGGAGCCCCCAGUGAGGAAAAUACAAGACCAAGAGCAGCACAGAGGCCGAGUUGUCACAUGCAAAACAGGAAGAAAAUAUAACACUGUGUAUUUAAGCACCUUUUUCAAGGCUCUUAAUGGAUAAUAUUUAUUCAUGGGAAAAGGUGGAAAACAAAACACCAACGGAUUUUUGUGACAUAUUUUUCUCCAUGGACCCAAUACCUUUGAACCAAAACAAUGCAUUUUGUGAGGGUUUUUUUUUCUUCUUUUAUAGCAGAAGCUUUUAGGCUAAGAAGUCCGUUAUUGCUGAGUUCUCUCUCCAUUCCCCCAGGUGGGUGAGGUCAACUGAGCCUGGGCCCCCACUGCCCAGCUGACCUGCACAGAGCUGCCAACUGACCACACAGCAACACUUACCCUCUGUAUGUCCUCUGUCUCUGUCCCUCUCUGCUUCACCCCCUGGCUGUUCUUCUCUGUGUCCAGCCAUCUGUCUCUACAUGGACCCCGGUGAUCCUGAGACAUGUUAGUAAAGCCUUCUCCUACUGCCAAGCACCUGCAGACUCGUGCCUGCAAGUUGUAUCUGUGUGAAUGCAGCUGUGGAAGAGAAAAGAAUAAAGCCAAAAAGGGAGAGUUUAGGGAUGAGGGAAGUCCACUCCCUUGUGAUUGGAACCACUGGUGUUUGGGGAAAAAAGGGACUGACCAGAAAUUUCACGCUGGGAUCUUGACACAGGAAAUAGCCAAUACCUGAGAGGCGUGGUCGAGUCUGGUGUGUGCCAGUGAAGAGAGAAGAGCCCAGGGCUCACAGCUGUAGUCGGCCCCGGGGGCACCUUGUUAUGUACCCUUCUUACAGGACCCACCAUAAAGCCCAUCGGAACUCUGCCAAGAGGCCCCAUUAACAGUUUCAUGCAGAAAGGGCAAGGUUCUGGCUUACCUUACAAUUAAGGCAACUCCCAUCCGGAGGCUGCGGGAGAUCGAGCCUGUGUGCUUCAGUGAAGGAUGCUCCAAAGUGCAAAAGCAAGUGAGAGAUUCUAGAUGAGUCUUACGUGGUCUGAAAAAUGACUUGAGGUCUGAAGAGUCUUCAGGCCUGAUGUCCCUGAAGGUAACUGAAAUGGGGGCGAAGCCUGAUCACCUCCGUGCAAGUGAGGGAGUGACUGUUAACUUCUGGAGAACCUGUUCAAGUGGUUUACACCCUGGUGGGACUGGGAAAAGCAUUUCUGGAAGCCUCCCACCAUUUUCACUGCUUAGAGCAGAGCAGGUGGGCCUCAGGAUGAGAGACAGGCCCCUUCCCGCCCUCCCCAGUUGCAGUCUCUCUGGCUUGGCCUCUGAGAUUCAGAAGCUCCUCAUCCAUUCUACAGUUUAGUGGUUAGCAGUUCAAUUGUAGGCCAAGAGCCUCUCUGCCCGCCACAGCCAUCUAGACAAGUUGCACUAGUCAGGAACCUAAAAACACCUUCAGUGGGCUUCCCUAUGUCCCCAGCUCUGUUGAGCCUGUGGAAGGGGAAGGCCAGUGGGUUCUGAGAUGGCUCCUAACCAGAAGGUGUGCAAAAGGGCAGAGGAGAGGGAGCCUUCGACCUUUAUCUCAUUAUACUAUCCUCACUGACCACUGACUGAGUCCUUUCUCUCGGUCCAGCCUCCAAGAUUUCCCCCUAAUAUGAGAAUGGGGUGGUUUUGACCUUCUGAGCCUGUGGUCUAAGUAGACAGAAAAGCUUUGCAACUACAGAUGAAUAUAUACACAGGAAUAUAUACACAGGAAUACACACACACACACACACACACACACACACACAAUAACAACAACCUAAACACACCUGAGAAUCAGUACUUAAAUCCGUUCACUUCAUACACAUAUCCCAUUAGGGAAGGGGAAAGACUGGGCUGGACUCCAUGCAGAAGGCAGGCAAAGGACUAGAAACGGAUUAUUUCCUUUGAAAGAAUGGUAAUGGAACAAAAUUAAGCAUAUCUAAGUAUCUAAGUUUACAUCAUAAAAACCGAGUCACAGGGUGCCUGGCUGCCUCAGUCAGUAGAGCACACGACUUUUGAUCUCAGGGUCAUGAGUUCAAGCCCCACGAUGGGCGUGGAGCCUACUAAAAAAGAAUAAAAACUGAGUGCAGAGUAAGGAAUAAAGAGGUAAAUAGGAACAUGGUUGCAUACACAUACAAACUGCCUGUGUUUAAGAACCGGUCAUCACAGGGUUAGAGUAAUGACUGAUCAUUAUGACUGAGCGUGUUAGUGCUUCCCACAAAAAUUAAUGAACAAAUUUUUAAAAUCAUGUCCCACAUAAUUUCUCAUUUUUUGACCCUAAUUAACUAUUUUGUAUUCCUUCAAUUUCAUUUAUAAAUCUCACUUUAAGCCAGUUCCUAAGAGACUUCAGACUGUCCCCUUCAUCUCCAUCCCCCAACGUAGCUGCAGCCAGGGAGAAGAGACCCAGCUCACCAAUGGUCCAAGAGAUGUCAACCCAGGAAAAGGACUCCUCUACACAAGAGAGAACAGCAAGACUACACUGUUAGAAGACUUUUGUGAGUAAACAAAAAGGCCUGAGUGUGCUGGAUCGGUUCAAUGACUAACUCAUUGGCCAGUGACCGAAGAACCGGGAUAUCAGGGUUUUCUGGAGGUAAUGGCUUUCUGGGGCAAUGAUUCCUGAGUUUCUUGAACCACUUCAGCAUAAUAGAAGAUUCCCGAAACACCUUGCCCCAUUCAGUCCCACUAAGCAUCAGAGAGGGUUAAAAAUAAUAAUGAUAGUAAUAGGCUAUGUUCAAAUGAAUGGGAACUUAGAAAACAUCGUAUUAAGAAUGUAUUAGAACUAAAAGGCAUUAAGAAUAUCUAAUUGAUUUUCCAGCAUAGAAAGCUGAGGCCCAGAGAAAUUAAGUGACUUGCUCAAGGUCAUGUAAUCAUUUAAUGUCCUAGCUGGGACCAGAACACAAGGCCCUUGGCUAUUAGUCUAAUGCUUUUUCCACUACAUUCGCUGCCUCUAGGAGCAGUGAUGCUUCGGAGAAGACCCAUCAAAGAAUACAUGCUGUAAUUAGAGACAUAGUCUUAUGUAAAUGUCAAUACCACUUGGACACAGCCCUUGGAAACCAUUUGACUGUGCUAAUACAAACCAUCUUUUGAAGCCACCAUUCUCUGGGUGGAACCAGCUAUGGACUAUCAAUUCUGUCCAAAACAAACACAAACAAACAAAAGGUGAACAAGUGAACAGUUUUCCUUCCGUCGAAUGCUACUUCUUCUCAAUGAAGAGAGGGCUAAAACAUUUCAAAGCAUCCCUUCCGGGGUCCUUUUGAUCCUUACUACUAUCUCUGAUGGUAGUAGGUCAAGUGACUAAGUCCUUGAUUCACAGAGAGGGAAAACAGGUGGAGAGAAACUGAGUGACACAGCAUGGCAAGUGAGUGGCAGAACCGUGAUUGUGAUCCAGGGCUUAGACUUCUCGCCCUGAGAUUUUUCUUCCACAUCAUGUUGCAUUACUCUGGGGCUUGCUUAUAUUUUUAAUACUUGGAUUUCAAGGGUGGUGAUUAGGGGGAGGAAGCAUUCCAUUCAGGAGCACCGGGAACCGGGACCUCCAGAAGCAAACUCUGUACGAUUUCGCCUUCAUCCCCCAUUCUUAGAACGUGUCAAAUUCAGGACUAACUUCCGACUGAAAGACCAGAUAUUCUCAGUGACAGUUGGACAUAGUCUACAAUCACAUGGGAGUUUAAGGCCAGCAAGUAGAAAAGUAAAACUAAGGGGAACAAAGAAUUUGAACAGAAAUUAAAGUGGACAGUUAAUGCUGAUCCAUGGUUAACAAGAGUCACCUUGUGAAUGUGCUAAGGACUUUUACCUAGUUUUCAAAUUACCAUUCCUGCAGUUCAGGAUCGUGUCACUUAUUGGCCAGAAUAUAGGCAGAAGUGUACAUUGAAACGCGUAUGUAGAUUUUUUUCCUUGACUUUUUAACUUUGCAGAGGUAGUGGUUGUAAUUGAGCUAAAUCUAGAUUCUAAGACUAUCAACGAAGUCCAGUGGUCCAGGCUCCCUCACUUCAAUUAUCAGGUAGCUACAAGGCAGAAAGAUCCCAAUGCUGUUAACCUAAGGCAAUAGUAGUUUCCCUUCUAAACUAGUUGGCAUGGUAACCAUAAGAACCUGGAAGACUUUUAUUUUCCCUUUCUGAUUUCCUUAUGAAGUCUCAUUUGCAAAGCUUUAAACUGACUGGAUGAAGGAAAACCAUUUUUAUGAUCCAUGACCCUUGGAGCCCAAACAGGAUCAUGAAGAGAAAGUGGCUAUCAGAAAAAGAAAUAGCUUUAAAGGGGUUCCUUUUGAGUCUUGUUUUCUAUUCAGAAUGUUCUAUGUUUUUCUCAUCAAGUGUGGGAAUGACAUUUAUCUUAGCAGGUUACUUAACUACACUGGAUGAUGUCACUCUAAACCAGUGUAGGGCACUGACCCAAAUCCUGGGGGGCUCCUUGGACCAAUAGACUAUUUUACAAACCUGGGAGGUGGGAGGGAUGGUAUAUUUUUGAUAAUCAGACAUUCCAAUGUAAUGUUUUCCUUAGAGGUCACCUCCCCAUUAAUGUUAUCGUGAAAAACAUCAAGUGUGUUCUUUUCUAUUUUCAUAUAAUAAAUGGGCUUUGCUUACCAACAUCACAAUGGCAAAGAAAUACUGUACAAAACCGCAGGAAGAUAAAACAUGUGAAAACUUUGUAUGAAAAAAAAAAAAACUCUUGAGUUUCCUGUCGUCUUCUUUUGAAACUGUAGUGCAUAUGUUAAAACGUAUUAUCAUUUACAGUAUUGAGUCAUGUGCCACUGCUGUACCUGAUGUAUCCAAUCUGGAUUAAACAAACUAUGUGCCACAAACC
This 4843-nucleotide long non-coding RNA is filed under the name Lynx pardinus (Iberian lynx). Lineage: Eukaryota; Metazoa; Chordata; Mammalia; Carnivora; Felidae. The record is from RNAcentral.